Molecule: ribosomal RNA, 460 nt
Filed under: uncultured bacterium
Lineage: Bacteria
Description: partial 16S ribosomal RNA
Rfam family: Bacterial small subunit ribosomal RNA
Source: RNAcentral
CCUACGGGAGGCAGCAGUGAGGAAUAUUGGUCGAUGGACGCAAGUCUGAACCAGCCAUGCCGCGUGCAGGAAGACGGCUCUAUGAGUUGUAAACUGCUUUUGUACGAGGGUAAACGCAGAUACGCGUAUCUGUCUGAAAGUAUCGUACGAAUAAGGAUCGGCUAACUCCGUGCCAGCAGCCGCGGUAAUACGGAGGAUUCAAGCGUUAUCCGGAUUUAUUGGGGUUAAAGGGUGCGUAGGCGGUCGGAUAAGUUAGAGGUGAAAUCCAGAGGCUCAACUUCGGAAUUGCCGCUGAUACUGGCAGGCUAGAGAGUAGUUGAGGUAGGCGGAAUGUAUGGUGUAGCGGUGAAAUGCGUAGAGAUCAUACAGAACACCGAUUGCGAAGGCAGCUUACCAAGCUACUGCUGACGUUGAGGCACGAAAGCGUGGGGAGCAAACAGGAUUAGAUACCCCUGUAGUC